RNAcentral lists this transfer RNA (76 nucleotides) under Candidatus Anoxychlamydiales bacterium. RNAcentral's name for it is "tRNA-Arg". It matches the Rfam family "tRNA". Rfam says of the family: Transfer RNA (tRNA) molecules are approximately 80 nucleotides in length. Their secondary structure includes four short double-helical elements and three loops (D, anti-codon, and T loops). Lineage: Bacteria; Pseudomonadati; Chlamydiota; Chlamydiia; Candidatus Anoxychlamydiales. The record is from RNAcentral.
UGCACCGGUAGCUCAAUUGGAUAGAGUGCUUGGCUACGGACCAAGAGGUUAGGGGUUCAAAUCCUCUCCGGUGCGA